Marmota marmota marmota (Alpine marmot) is the source of this 57-nucleotide microRNA precursor. Lineage: Eukaryota; Metazoa; Chordata; Mammalia; Rodentia; Sciuridae. The record is from Ensembl.
UCAGGCUCUCAGCCCGAGCCGUGUUCUUCAGACGGGCACGGGCUGCAGCGCCAACGC